GACGAACGCUGGCGGCGUGCUUAACACAUGCAAGUCGAACGGAAAGGCCCUGCUUUUGUGGGGUGCUCGAGUGGCGAACGGGUGAGUAACACGUGAGUAACAUGCCCUUGACUUUGGGAUAACUUCAGGAAACUGGGGCUAAUACCGGAUAGGAGCUCCUGCUGCAUGGUGGGGGUUGGAAAGUUUCGGCGGUUGGGGAUGGACUCGCGGCUUAUCAGCUUGUUGGUGGGGUAGUGGCUUACCAAGGCUUUGACGGGUAGCCGGCCUGAGAGGGUGACCGGCCACAUUGGGACUGAGAUACGGCCCAGACUCCUACGGGAGGCAGCAGUGGAGAAUAUUGCACAAUGGGCGGAAGCCUGAUGCAGCAACGCCGCGUGCGGGAUGACGGCCUUCGGGUUGUAAACCGCUUUCGCCUGUGACGAAGCGGGAGUGACGGUAAUGGGUAAAGAAGCACCGGCUAACUACGUG
Molecule: ribosomal RNA, 468 nt
Filed under: uncultured bacterium
Lineage: Bacteria
Description: partial 16S ribosomal RNA
Rfam family: Bacterial small subunit ribosomal RNA
Source: RNAcentral